GAUGAACGCUGGCGGCGUGCCUAAUACAUGCAAGUCGAGCGAACGGACGAGAAGCUUGCUUCUCUGAUUUUAUCGGCGGACGGGUGAGUAACACGUGGAUAACCUACCUAUAAGACUGGGAUAACUUCGGGAAACCGGAGCUAAUACCGGAUAAUAUUUUGAACCGCAUGGUUCAAAAGUGAAAGACGGUCUUGCUGUCACUUAUAGAUGGAUCCGCGCUGCAUUAGCUAGUUGGUAAGGUAACGGCUUACCAAGGCAACGAUGCAUAGCCGACCUGAGAGCGUGAUCGGACACACUGGAACUGAGACACGGUCCAGACUCCUACGGGAGGCAGCAGUAGGGAAUCUUCCGCAAUGGGCGAAAGCCUGACGGAGCAACGCCGCGUGAGUGAUGAAGGUCUUCGGAUCGUAAAACUCUGUUAUUAGGGAAGAACAUAUGUGUAAGUAACUGUGCACAUCUUGACGGUACCUAAUCAGAAAGCCACGGCUAACUACGUG
Molecule: ribosomal RNA, 497 nt
Filed under: uncultured bacterium
Lineage: Bacteria
Description: partial 16S ribosomal RNA
Rfam family: Bacterial small subunit ribosomal RNA
Source: RNAcentral